AAAUAUAAAGCAGAGGUAAGAAAUAUUAUAAACAAUUGAAAAUUGUUGCAAUAAAUUAAAGAGCUGGUAAAGUUUAUUGGUAAAUUAAUCCGGGAAUUUUAUAUAAUAUAUACUUAAUUAUUUUAACGUAAUACCGACAGACCGCAAAAAUAAAUUACAUUAUUAUUUUCCCCCACCCCAAAUAACCUUUUAAUUUUACAAUAUUAUGCGAAUUUACCAGGUACCGAUAUAAUUAUAAUUUAAGGAAAAUGGGCUUUAUUAUUACGAUUAAAAUAUCGGGGUAAUCUGUUUUUUUGGUAACGUAUUGUGGGUUAAAACAAAUGAACGUUUAAUUGGGUAAUUGGGGUUUUUAAUAAUUGAUAUAAAAUUAUAAUCGGUCUCAAAUAAAUAUUAAAAUUAACUAAAAUUUAAUUAUUAUUAAACAAUUUAAAAAUAAGGCUAUUUAUAUAAUAAUAAAUAUAUUUUUAUAUAAUUUAUUGGUCCAAAUGUAAUUUCCUUUAAUUUUUACAAAUUAUUUGAAAUUAUUAUUUUUGGCGUUUAUCCUAAAUUCGAAAGAUUAUAUUGCAUUAAAUAAUUAAAUAAAUCUUGUCGUUAUAUAAUAACAAACGCUAAAUUAGCGUUAAAAGCACGAUAAAAAUUCCAACACGCGUUUUAGCACAAAUGGCACGGCCUACACUAAUAUAUGGUUCUUUUACCCACUAAAUUUGGUUAUAUAUAUACGUUAAUGUGCGUCAAAUUAUUUUAAAUUAAUUCCUGGAAAUUACGCGAUAUUACGUUAUAUUGUCCUUAUAUAAUCCUAGGUUCUGUUCGUACCUACCUAACCUAUUUAAUUCCGAUCCAAUAUUUUGGUCGUAAUAAUUACCCGCUUAAUGGAAAUACGGAACGGUAUUGCCAAAAAAUUACUAGUCUGGAAUCCGUGCAAAUAAAUUAAAAAUUUCCAAACCUUUUUUGUUAUUUUUUAAAAUUUAAA
This 970-nucleotide small RNA is filed under the name Pyricularia oryzae. RNAcentral's name for it is "Magnaporthe oryzae sRNA M_BR32_EuGene_00127881". The record is from RNAcentral. Lineage: Eukaryota; Fungi; Ascomycota; Sordariomycetes; Magnaporthales; Pyriculariaceae.